Bubalus bubalis (water buffalo) is the source of this 193-nucleotide long non-coding RNA. RefSeq lists it as uncharacterized. NCBI's taxonomy places the organism in Eukaryota, Metazoa, Chordata, Mammalia, Artiodactyla, Bovidae. The record is from RefSeq and is a predicted model, not a curated record. The transcript has 3 exons.
CUCCCACACUGCAGGCAGACUCUUUUACCAUCUGAGCUUCCAGGGAAGCCCCAGAACUGCUACUUUGGUUUUGAAAAGCCUGUCGCUUUUGGAGAGAAGUGUAUCCAACAAAUACUACCUGGAAUCAUCCUUUGUCCAUGAAGAAAUACAUUCUGCUGUACCAAAUAUUAAAAAAUUGAAUAUUUGUUUCUUU